Molecule: long non-coding RNA, 1011 nt
Filed under: Phasianus colchicus (ring-necked pheasant)
Lineage: Eukaryota; Metazoa; Chordata; Aves; Galliformes; Phasianidae
Description: lncRNA (ENSPCLG00000006349.1)
Source: RNAcentral
UUUUUAAAUAGUUCAGAAUGGACAAGUGAAACAAGUAACUGACAAAUGUCAUUCUUUUGAAGGAAGAUGGAUAAAGAGUUUGUCUAAAGAGCAUCUAAAGAUGAUGCUGAGAGUAAAGCUUUUGGCUGAAGCACCUGAGUGAAGCUCUGUCUGUGCUUUCUAUAUCAUGUCACAAUCCUUUGUGUGGAAGGGUAGGUAAUACAUUCAGUGGUCCCUGUUGUAUUCUUUCUUUACCUGGUCAUUUAGCAUUGGACUUCUUGGCCUUCUUUUCUUUUCUUUCAAAACUAAGGGCUUUUCACAGAAAGACCUACUGAGCAGUCCUAAACUAGCUCCAUAUGUAUUUGCCUUUUUUUCCAUUAAGAUCAGAUUCCAGUGACAUAAGCAUAAAUGAGGAUGAUAGUGAACAGAAUACAGUUUUGAGAGAAAAAUCUGUGAAUAUUGUGAAUUUACCUUGCUGUUUGCUAAUAUGCUGUAGUUUCUUAAAUCUAAUUUUCAAGGCAUCUUAUCCUAAUGGGAAGGAGAAGAGACUGCUUAUUUCUAUAAGCCAUUUGCAUCGUCAUUUUAUUUCUUUUCCAGUACUGAACAAUUUUUGAAGCAACUGAGCCAAAAGGACAAGUGAGUCAAGUGUUCAGUUUAGCCUGUAAACUGCAGGCUUUGGGGAGUCAUGGAAAGAAACAGACUUUAUUUGCUCUGUUCUUAUGCUCCUUUCCCUAAGUGCUCACUUCACACUCUCCAAGUUUCCAGCAGAAAUGGUAUGUUGUGGGAAUUAUGUACUCUCUGGAACAUCUGGGUUUGCUAUGGAAAACAGCACGAUACUUUGCAUAACCAGACAGAUUACACCAAAAAGGAAUCAGACCUGGGAGGAACUGUGGACUCCUGGGUAUGUGUGAAAUUGCUCUUUCAACUUCGGUUGUCAUCUCAUCAUAGAAAUUGAAUAACUCUCCUGAAUCACAUGGCUAUAGUACUUUUAACAACAGAAAAUCAAAUUAAAAAAAUAAUAAUAAAUUUCAG